This 261-nucleotide unclassified non-coding RNA is filed under the name Cutaneotrichosporon moniliiforme. RNAcentral describes it as "sequence contains 5.8S rRNA gene". The stretch from base 1 to 53 matches the Rfam family "5.8S ribosomal RNA", at positions 102 to 154 of the family's 154-position model. Lineage: Eukaryota; Fungi; Basidiomycota; Tremellomycetes; Trichosporonales; Trichosporonaceae. The record is from RNAcentral.
GAACGCAACUUGCGCUCUCUGGUAUUCCGGAGAGCAUGCCUGUUUGAGUAUCAUGAAAUCUCAACCAUUAGGGUUUCUUAAUGGCUUGGAAUUGGGUGUUGCCAGUCGCCUGGCUCGCCUUAAAAGAGUUAGCGUGUUUAACUUGUCUAUCUGGCGUAAUAAGUUUCGCUGGUGUCGGCUUGAGAAGUACGCUUCUAAUCGUCUUCGGACAAUUCUUGAACUCUGGUCUCAAAUCAGGUAGGGCUACCCGCUGAACUUAAG